RNAcentral lists this long non-coding RNA (1088 nucleotides) under Homo sapiens (human). Its description in RNAcentral is "HSALNT0068977". Lineage: Eukaryota; Metazoa; Chordata; Mammalia; Primates; Hominidae. The record is from RNAcentral.
CAAGAUGGUUAUUUGAUAGAUUGUCCCUUACUUUGGAUUUGGCUGAUGUUUCUUGGCGGUGAUAUUCUUAUGCAUUUGAGGUGGGAUUAUCACAGCAAUGGUGUCAUGUUCUCUGUGCAUCGCAUCAGGAGGGACAUGCUGAUGGUUUAUCCCAUUACACCAAAGUGAAUGUUGAUCGUUCAGUGAAGGUGGGUGCGGGUUCAUUGCAUUAUAUUGCAGAAGCCAUCAUCAGCCAUACUCGCUCUGAUUAACCAAUCAUCUUAUGUAGCCAUUUAUCUAACAAGGCUGUAAGGGUCUUGAACUCAGGGUAAGCAAGCCUUAAAGCAGAAGAGAAGAAAGAAAGGCUUUGGAACCUGGAGCUUUGGCAAAGGGCGCAGGUGUGGGGAACGCACCACCAAACUUGCUCCUGGCAUUAGGAUGAAGAGGAAGGAGAACAUUCUAUCUAGAAGGGGUUUGGGGUUAGCCAGAGGGGUGUGGGAGAGUCAGAGUCUGCCAACUUGUGGUUUUGCUGAGGGCUACACUGUGGUAGACAGGUGUUUCAUUUCUGCUCUUGAAAAUUUUGUUUCACAAUCCUUCAUCUAAAACAGAGCAAUUCCCUUUUUCUAAGUUUUGGCCCACUUUGCUUCAUCUGUCUUCUGUUCUCUUAUUUUUAGAGACAGGGUCUUGCUCUGUUGCCCAGGCUGGAGUGCAGUGAUGUGAUCAUAGGUCACUGCAGCCUUGACCUCCUGGGCUCAAGCAAUCCUCCUGCCUUAGCCUCCUCAGCUGAUCUUGAACUCUUGGCUUCAAGGGAUCCUCCCACCUCGGCCUCCCGAAGUGUUGAGAUGACAGGCAUGAGCCACCAUGCCCACCUCUGUCUUUUCUCUUGGGAUUACUGACUUCCACAUUAGCUCCAGGAAUAAUUUCUGUUAAGGUGAUGCCUGGCUCGACACUUCUGGUAACUCCCGUUGUUUAUCUAUUGCUUAUCUCCAGAACCUAUGUGAUGCUUCCUACUUCAAAGUGCACUAGUGCCUGUCAGCUUGAAGGCAUCCCCUGAGCUGCUGGCAAACAAGGCCUUUUUACCCAGAGAUUAACCUCUUAUUUGUUUCAAU